GAGUUUGAUCAUGGCUCAGAUUGAACGCUGGCGGCAUGCCUUACACAUGCAAGUCGAACGGCAGCGACGGGGGCAACCCUGGUGGCGAGUGGCGAACGGGUGAGUAAUGCAUCGGAAUGUGUCCUCUUGGUGGGGGAUAACCAGUCGAAAGACUGGCUAAUACCGCAUGAGCUCGAGAGAGGAAAGCGGGGGACCGCAAGGCCUCGCGCGAGAGGAGCAGCCGAUGCCCGAUUAGCUAGUUGGCGGGGUAAGAGCCCACCAAGGCGACGAUCGGUAGCUGGUCUGAGAGGACGACCAGCCACACUGGGACUGAGACACGGCCCAGACUCCUACGGGAGGCAGCAGUGGGGAAUUUUGGACAAUGGGCGCAAGCCUGAUCCAGCCAUGCCGCGUGUGUGAAGAAGGCC
Molecule: ribosomal RNA, 407 nt
Filed under: uncultured beta proteobacterium
Lineage: Bacteria; Pseudomonadati; Pseudomonadota; Betaproteobacteria
Description: bacterial SSU rRNA
Rfam family: Bacterial small subunit ribosomal RNA
Source: RNAcentral